Molecule: non-coding RNA, 70 nt
Organism: Podarcis lilfordi (Lilford's wall lizard)
Lineage: Eukaryota; Metazoa; Chordata; Lepidosauria; Squamata; Lacertidae
Source: the annotation of a GenBank genome assembly
GCCCAUAGCUGAGUGGUAGAGCAUUUGCUUUGCAUUUGGAAGGUCCCAGGUUCGAUCCCCGGCUUCUCCA